UGCUGUUUUAGUGGGGAAAUAUUGACAAACAUGAGAGUUUUACUAUUUCCUCCCAACGAAUAUUGUAACAAAUUAGUCAGCUUGGAAUUUCGAUACGGAAUGUACGUUCCUUCCUUUCCACUUCCCAAAGCAUGUAUUACAUCUCCUAAACAACUUAAACUUUUGUUGAUUGCCUGCGUUUCCUUCAAACGUUCACCCACACUUUGGCUACUCGAAAGUCUUUCGGAUCCAGCCAGAUCAAUCAAAUUAAGCGUACUUCUGCAUGUUUCACCUGUCGUAGAAUUGCUUCCAUUCAAGUGUAGCAUAAAAACUGAAUGCGAUCUUGAGGAAUGUUCAUUAGCAUUGGUAGCCGCAACAGAACGGUUCUUCGAAGCUUGAUCUAACAACCAGGUUACCUGCUCAGGUGUGUCUAAC
Schizosaccharomyces pombe (fission yeast) is the source of this 414-nucleotide non-coding RNA. NCBI's taxonomy places the organism in Eukaryota, Fungi, Ascomycota, Schizosaccharomycetes, Schizosaccharomycetales, Schizosaccharomycetaceae. The record is from the annotation of a GenBank genome assembly.